AGCGAACGUUAGCGGCGCGCUUAACACAUGCAAGUCGCACGAGAAAGGGCUUCGGCCCCGGUAAAGUGGCGCACGGGUGCGUAACACGUAGGCAAUCUUCCCUUGAGCGGGGGAUAACGUUUCGAAAGAGACGCUAAUACCGCAUAAGACCACGACGGGUUUGCUCGUUGCGGCCAAAUCUGGCGUCUUCACGAAAGCUACCACUCAAUGACGAGCCUGCGGCCCAUCAUGCUAGUUGGUAGGGUAAUGGCCUACCAAGGCGAAGACGGGUAGGUGGUCUGAGAGGAUGAUCAGCCACACUGGAACUGAAACACGGUCCAGACUCCUACGGGAGGCAGCAGUGGGGAAUAUUGGACAAUGGGCGAAAGCCUGAUCCAGCGACGCCGCGUGAGUGAUGAAGGCCUUCGGGUCGUAAAGCUCUGUUGAGGGAGAAGAAAACAGUUAGAGCGAAUAGGUCUAACUCUUGACGGUAUCCCUUUAGAAAGCACCGGCUAACUCUGUGCCAGCCGCCGCGGUAA
This 518-nucleotide ribosomal RNA is filed under the name uncultured bacterium. RNAcentral describes it as "partial 16S ribosomal RNA". It matches the Rfam family "Bacterial small subunit ribosomal RNA", at positions 29 to 523 of the family's 1533-position model. The record is from RNAcentral.